This 64-nucleotide transfer RNA is filed under the name Chaetocnema depressa. RNAcentral's name for it is "tRNA-Tyr". Lineage: Eukaryota; Metazoa; Arthropoda; Insecta; Coleoptera; Chrysomelidae. The record is from RNAcentral.
GGUAAAAUGGCUGAGUUUAGGCAAUAAAUUGUAAAUUUAUGAACGAAUAUUAAUUCUUUUACCA